GAAAAAAUACUAGUUUAUGUGUGUGAAUAUGUAUGUGUGAGAUAAUAGAAGCUCUGAGUGAAGUCUAAUUGUGUGAUAACAUAAUUUUCUUUUUUCUCGUUUGUUUUCUCCACUUUUUGCUGCAUAAAAACCCCCAACAUGCACUGAGAGAGGUUUGUCAUGAGGCAGAGUGUGUGAGAGCAGAGUGUGUGAGAGGUGUGUUAUGAGGCAGAGUGUGUGAGAGCAGAGUGUGUGAGAGGUGUGUUAUGAAGCAGAGUGUGUGAGAGGUGUGUCAUGAAGCAGAGUGUGUGAGAGGUGUGUCAUGAAGCAGAGUGUGUGAGAGGUGUGUCAUGAAGCAGAGUGUGUGAGAGGUGUGUCAUGAGGCAGAGUGUGUGAGAGCAGAGUGUGUGAGAGGUGUGUCAUAAUGCAGAAUGUGUGAGAGGUGUGUCGUGAAGAAGAAUGUGUGAGAGGUGUGUCAUGAGGCAGAGUGUGUGAGAGGUGUGUCAUGAGGCAGAGUGUGUGAGAGGUGUGUCAUAAAGCAGAGUGUGUGAGAGGUGUAUCAUGAGGCAGAGUGUGUGAGAGGUGUGUCAUGAAGCAGAGCGUGUGUGAGAGGUGUGUCAUGAAGCAGAGUGUGUGUGAGAGGUGUGUCAUGAAACAGAGCGUGUGAGAGGUGCGUCAUGAGGCAGAGUGUGUGUGAGAGGUGCGUCAUGAGGCAGAGUGUGUGAGAUGUGUGUCAUGAAGCAGAACGUGUGAGAGGUGUGUCAUGAGGCAGAGUGUGUGAGAGGUGUGUCAUGAGGCACAGUGUGUCAUGAGGCAGUGUGUGUGAGAGGUCUGUCAUGAGGCAGAGUGUGUGCUGCUCUCAGCCAGCAGCACGAGGAGCUCCGACUGAGACGCGGCCUCAAAGCGGCAGUGACUGGAACCAGCUGGGGGUGCUGAGGCCCAACUGCAACCGAAAAGCAUGUAGGCUGCUUACAUGCAAUUGUGGACUACUGUGAACAUGCAGACACAAAUGCACAUG
Gasterosteus aculeatus aculeatus (three-spined stickleback) is the source of this 997-nucleotide long non-coding RNA. NCBI's taxonomy places the organism in Eukaryota, Metazoa, Chordata, Actinopteri, Perciformes, Gasterosteidae. The record is from Ensembl.